GGAGGAGUCGCAUAGUUGGUCCAUUGCGGGGGGUUGCUAACCCCCUGAGCCCCUUAAACAGGCUCGCGCAGGUUCAAAUCCUGUCUCCUCCG
Molecule: transfer RNA, 92 nt
Filed under: Candidatus Levyibacteriota bacterium
Lineage: Bacteria; Candidatus Levyibacteriota
Description: tRNA-Ser
Rfam family: tRNA
About the family: Transfer RNA (tRNA) molecules are approximately 80 nucleotides in length. Their secondary structure includes four short double-helical elements and three loops (D, anti-codon, and T loops).
Source: RNAcentral